Molecule: long non-coding RNA, 1512 nt
Organism: Brassica napus (rape)
Lineage: Eukaryota; Viridiplantae; Streptophyta; Magnoliopsida; Brassicales; Brassicaceae
Exons: 3
Source: RefSeq, a predicted model, not a curated record
CUCGUUACGCAAACUCUUCUUUUUUUUCUCGAAAGAAUAACAAAUUCAUCCUCUUUCUUAACUCAAUUAUAUUUUCUCAAAUGUUCAAACCUAAUACACAGAGUUCAAUAAAAAAAAAUCAAAAGAGGAUUGAUUGGUGUGAUGAUAAGACCAGAGCUUGUAAUGAAAUCGAUCAUGGACGGGAUCAGGAUUCGCCGUGGCUGAGCUCGGGAUCCGCCGUGGAUGAGCUCGGGAUCCACCGUGGAUGAGCUCGGGAUUCGCCGUGGCUGAGCUCGGGAUCCGCCGUGGAUGAGCUCGGGAUCCACCGUGGAUGAGCUCGGGAUUCGCCGUGGCUGAGAUCGGGAUCCGCCGUGAUGAGCUCGGGAUUCGCCGUGAUGAGCUCGGGAUCCGCCGUGGAUGAGCUCGGGGUCCGCCGUGGCUGAGCUCGGGAUCCGCCGUGGCUGAACUCGGGAUCCGCCGUGGAUGAGCUCGGGAUCCGCCGUGGCUGAGCUCAGGGUAGCUGCGGUAGAGUAUCAGAGAGUGGAAAAGCUCGAGAUUCAGCGACCGUUUCACCGCCUCGAUAACCCGUAAAACUCACCGGACAUUUCAAAUCCACUGUGAGAUAACCUCUUUCCAGAUUUCGCUGGAACUAGUUAACUAGAUCUGAGCGUCGGUGAGAGGUUCUUUGAUCCGUUCGAGGAAACAUGGCAAGGAUGAGAAGUUUUAUAGGUUUGAUUAACAAAAUACAGAGAGCUUGCCCUGUCCUCGGAGAUCACGACGUGAAAGAAUGUCCCUUUGGAAAGCUCUCCCAACCGUAGAUGUCCUUGGUGGCCAGCUUCAGGUAUUUCCAACGGAACGUGCUCCACCAUCACCCGUUACAUGGACAAAUGGAUGGACUCUCACCAACGAGUGGGUACAUGGCCUUAUGUCCUCUUUUGAAUAGUCUUCAUGGAACCUCCCUCCUUCUCAGUUCCCUUCAGUGAUGCCUGUCAACGUCUUCGACUCCCUCAUCCUCACUGCUUCCAAAAUCCUCCACCAAGAACGCAUUAUUGUCCAUGUUGAUGAUCUGGACUCUGAUUCCAAAGUUGUUGUGGUUGGUGACAUUCAUGGUCUCGAGUUCUGAAGCAUGGAGGGUCUUGAGUUCUAGGAAGACCUUUGUACUUUGCUGCUCUUUCACCUGGAGGGUAACACUGCCAUGGCUAAUGGGACUUAAAAGAAGCUGUAAAUCCAUCAAGAGAAACCGCAAGUUACCAAGAGCUCAUUCAUAUAUAAUCGUUGGACAUGUUUGAAUUUAAGCUUUGUUUUUCUUGUUGGACAUGUUUGAAGUUAUUAACCUUUUGGUCUGUUUAACUUUGUUUUUCAUCACCCAACUUUUGUUUUUCUCAAUGGACAUGUACGUGGCUGUUUUUGGUUUGAACUUAUUAACUUGUUCAUCUUUGAGAUUUGGACACAUUAGUAUCUAUAUCCAUAGCCUUUUAAUGUCACAAUUUUUUUUAUCUAAGUUGUUUAGUGUUAGUGACUCUGUCCACCACA